GAUGAACGCUGGCGGCGUGCCUAAUACAUGCAAGUCGAGCGAACGGACGAGAAGCUUGCUUCUCUGAUGUUAGCGGCGGACGGGUGAGUAACACGUGGAUAACCUACCUAUAAGACUGGGAUAACUUCGGGAAACCGGAGCUAAUACCGGAUGAUAUUUUGAACCGCAUGGUUCAAAAGUGAAAGAUGGUCUUGCUGUCACUUAUAGAUGGAUCCGCGCUGCAUUAGCUAGUUGGUAAGGUAACGGCUUACCAAGGCAACGAUGCAUAGCCGACCUGAGAGGGUGAUCGGCCACACUGGAACUGAGACACGGUCCAGACUCCUAAGGGAGGCAGCAGUAGGGAAUCUUCCGCAAUGGGCGAAAGCCUGACGGAGCAACGCCGCGUGAGUGAUGAAGGUCUUCGGAUCGUAAAACUCUGUUAUUAGGGAAGAACAUAUGUGUAAGUAACUGUGCACAUCUUGACGGUACCUAAUCAGAAAGCCACGGCUAACUACGUG
RNAcentral lists this ribosomal RNA (497 nucleotides) under uncultured bacterium. RNAcentral's name for it is "partial 16S ribosomal RNA". It matches the Rfam family "Bacterial small subunit ribosomal RNA", at positions 28 to 507 of the family's 1533-position model. The record is from RNAcentral.